UACGUAGGGACCAAGCGUUGUUCGGAUUUACUGGGCGUAAAGGGCGCGUAGGCGGCGUGACAAGUCACUUGUGAAAUCUCCGGGCUUAACUCGGAACGGCCAAGUGAUACUGUCGUGCUAGAGUGCAGAAGGGGCAAUCGGAAUUCUUGGUGUAGCGGUGAAAUGCGUAGAUAUCAAGAGGAACACCUGAGGUGAAGACGGGUUGCUGGGCUGACACUGACGCUGAGGCGCGAAAGCGUGGGGAGCAAACAGG
RNAcentral lists this ribosomal RNA (253 nucleotides) under uncultured bacterium. Its description in RNAcentral is "partial 16S ribosomal RNA". It matches the Rfam family "Bacterial small subunit ribosomal RNA", at positions 524 to 776 of the family's 1533-position model. The record is from RNAcentral.